This 489-nucleotide ribosomal RNA is filed under the name uncultured bacterium. RNAcentral's name for it is "partial 16S ribosomal RNA". It matches the Rfam family "Bacterial small subunit ribosomal RNA", at positions 30 to 507 of the family's 1533-position model. The record is from RNAcentral.
UUGAACGCUGGCGGCAGGCCUAACCCAUGCCCGUCGAACGGUAACAGGGAUCAGCUUGCUGAUUCGCUGACGAGUGGCGGACGGGUGAGUAAUGUCUGGGAAACUGCCUGAUGGAGGGGGAUAACUACUGGAAACGGUAGCUAAUACCGCAUAACGUCGCAAGACCAAAGAGGGGGACCUUCGGGCCUCUUGCCAUCGGAUGUGCCCAGAUGGGAUUAGCUAGUAGGUGGGGUAACGGCUCACCUAGGCGACGAUCCCUAGCUGGUCUGAGAGGAUGACCAGCCACACUGGAACUGAGACACGGUCCAGACUCCUACGGGAGGCAGCAGUGGGGAAUAUUGCACAAUGGGCGCAAGCCUGAUGCAGCCAUGCCGCGUGUAUGAAGAAGGCCUUCGGGUUGUAAAGUACUUUCAGCGGGGAGGAAGGGAGUAAAGUUAAUACCUUUGCUCAUUGACGUUACCCGCAGAAGAAGCACCGGCUAACUCCGUG